UUUAUGGAGAGUUUGAUCCUGGCUCAGGAUGAACGCUGGCGGUGUGCCUAAUACAUGCAAGUCGAGCGAACGGACGAGAAGCUUGCUUCUCUGAUGUUAGCGGCGGACGGGUGAGUAACACGUGGAUAACCUACCUAUAAGACUGGGAUAACUUCGGGAAACCGGAGCUAAUACCGGAUAAUAUUUUGAACCGCAUGGUUCAAAAGUGAAAGACGGUCUUGCUGUCACUUAUAGAUGGAUCCGCGCUGCAUUAGCUAGUUGGUAAGGUAACGGCUUACCAAGGCAACGAUGCAUAGCCGACCUGAGAGGGUGAUCGGCCACACUGGAACUGAGACACGGUCCAGACUCCUACGGGAGGCAGCAGUAGGGAAUCUUCCGCAAUGGGCGAAAGCCUGACGGAGCAACGCCGCGUGAGUGAUGAAGGUCUUCGGAUCGUAAAACUCUGUUAUUAGGGAAGAACAUAUGUGUAAGUAACUGUGCACAUCUUGACGGUACCUAAUCAGAAAGCCA
This 510-nucleotide ribosomal RNA is filed under the name Staphylococcus aureus. RNAcentral describes it as "bacterial SSU rRNA". It matches the Rfam family "Bacterial small subunit ribosomal RNA", at positions 1 to 493 of the family's 1533-position model. Lineage: Bacteria; Bacillati; Bacillota; Bacilli; Caryophanales; Staphylococcaceae. The record is from RNAcentral.